CCCUACGGGGUGCAGCAGUCUCUUGCAGAAAAGGAAAAAGAACUUCAAGCAAGAUUGGAACAGGCACCCAAACAAAAAGGGACAAGCCCAAUUCCGAUUGAGCAGAAAGUCUAUACUGACCCUGUAGGAGCAAUGAGAGAUAUUCAGCAAAAACUUGCUGAAACAAACCACAUGUUGCACGCAGCUCAAGCCCAAGAUGAUAUCUUUGAAGUACAAAAGUUACUUGUGGAAAAGGAUGCUCUCAAAGAUAAGUAUCUUGCGGUACAGGGAGUGAUUAGUUCAGCCAAUAAUGAAUGGGAAAGUAUCUUUAAAGCAAUCCCUGACUUCAAAGAGAAGGCACCAAAACUUAAGGGCUUUACUCAAGAAGUCUUGGGUGAGGAUGGCUUUACAGAGCAGGAAAUGAAUUGGCGGGGGGGC
This 417-nucleotide ribosomal RNA is filed under the name uncultured prokaryote. RNAcentral's name for it is "partial 16S ribosomal RNA". The record is from RNAcentral.